Molecule: ribosomal RNA, 495 nt
Filed under: uncultured bacterium
Lineage: Bacteria
Description: partial 16S ribosomal RNA
Rfam family: Bacterial small subunit ribosomal RNA
Source: RNAcentral
GACGAACGCUGGCGGCGUGCCUAAUACAUGCAAGUAGAACGCUGAAGGAGGAGCUUGCUCUUCUGGAUGAGUUGCGAACGGGUGAGUAACGCGUAGGUAACCUGCCUGGUAGCGGGGGAUAACUAUUGGAAACGAUAGCUAAUACCGCAUAACAGUAGAUGUUGCAUGACAUUUGCUUAAAAGGUGCAAUUGCACCACUACCAGAUGGACCUGCGUUGUAUUAGCUAGUUGGUGGGGUAACGGCUCACCAAGGCGACGAUACAUAGCCGACCUGAGAGGGUGAUCGGCCACGCUGGGACUGAGACACGGCCCAGACUCCUACGGGAGGCAGCAGUAGGGAAUCUUCGGCAAUGGACGGAAGUCUGACCGAGCAACGCCGCGUGAGUGAAGAAGGUUUUCGGAUCGUAAAGCUCUGUUGUAAGAGAAGAACGAGUGUGAGAGUGGAAAGUUCACACUGUGACGGUAUCUUACCAGAAAGGGACGGCUAACUACGUG